AUGAACGCUAGCGACAGGCCUAACACAUGCAAGUCGAGGGGCAGCACAAGGAGCAAUCUGAGGUGGCGACCGGCGCACGGGUGAGUAACACGUAUGCAACCUGCCUGUAAGCGGGGAAUAACCCGUUGAAAGACGGACUAAUACCGCAUAAUACUAAAUUACUGCAUGGUAAUUUAUUUAAACAUUUAUGGCUUACAGAUGGGCAUGCGCAUGAUUAGCUAGUUGGAGAGGUAACGGCUCCCCAAGGCAACGAUCAUUAGGGGUUCUGAGAGGAAGGUCCCCCACACUGGUACUGAGACACGGACCAGACUCCUACGGGAGGCAGCAGUGAGGAAUAUUGGUCAAUGGACGAGAGUCUGGACCAGCCAAGUCGCGUGCAGGAAGAAUGUCCUAUGGAUUGUAAACUGCUUUUGCAGGGGAAUAAAGUGCAUCACGUGUGAUGUUUUGUAUGUACUCUGCGAAUAAGGAUCGGCUAACUCCGUGCCAGCAGCAGC
Molecule: ribosomal RNA, 494 nt
Filed under: uncultured bacterium
Lineage: Bacteria
Description: bacterial SSU rRNA
Rfam family: Bacterial small subunit ribosomal RNA
Source: RNAcentral